GAACACUAAUGUUUUCAGCUUAAACAUCUAGCAGCUAAUAACAACAAGUGACCUCAAAUGCUGACUUUCUGUUGUAACUGGAUGCAAAGCGAACUGUGAAAUUAGACUAAAGCUAAUACAGCAGUUUAAUGAGUUUAAAACGUAUCAGAAGACACUUUCCGAAGAAUGUUAUCCAAAGGAUCUUUAGUCCUAUGUACUAAAACUGUGACAGAGAGCUGAGUAGAACUGCCUACAGGCGGUCCUGAUUUUGAUCAAGAGUGUUCCAACACUGCAGCACCUCGUCCCAAUUUAUUAUUCUUUGAGCAUGAGCCUGCACAGUGAAUGCCAACUCUUGUAAAAAUGACUCACCUAACGUGGGAGGAGUGAGAAGUGGACUAACAUCUUCCAUUGUUUGGCCAACUGAAGUCCCAGUCGAUGGACCAGCUCUGGCUGGUCUCUAUCAUUACAUUAUCAACACUUCAACAGUAUGAGUCAUCACAAUCCAAAGCAAUCUCUUGAACUCGGAGAGUCAAAGAACAUCUUUGCGUGAUUGUGCAUACCUGAGAGAUCACGAGAUGGCAACACUGCAAAGGAGACAACUGCAUUGU
Long non-coding RNA from Hemiscyllium ocellatum (epaulette shark), 587 nucleotides. RefSeq lists it as uncharacterized. The transcript has 3 exons. Lineage: Eukaryota; Metazoa; Chordata; Chondrichthyes; Orectolobiformes; Hemiscylliidae. The record is from RefSeq and is a predicted model, not a curated record.